UGUAUUCUCCUUUUCAUGACAGCCAAAUAAGGACACAUCCAAGCAAAAAAACAGUAGAGAGAUUAGCUAUCAAAGCUCAGUCUCUCUGUCUUUUAUCCCCCAAAAACAAGAACCCCAGCUUCAACCUUUACCAUUUCCCAAUGCCUCCUACUCUACCCUUUUACCAUUGUACUGUUUCGAGUUCAAGAAUCUAAAAAUUAACAGUCCCAUGGUUGAAGAUUACACACAAAAGCCAAAAAUCUCAAGAAGCGAGCGACUUGGAUUCUCUUGGAAACCGAGCAGCUGAGUGCUAAUUAUAAACACCCACAGGACGGAAGGUUCGUGUUCUUCAUUUGUUGUUCUAAAAAUGAUUUGGAAUUUGGAAUUUGGAACAGUGUUUUAGAUUCACAAUCACAUGGUGCCAAAUUCUAAUGGUAAUUUAUUGAUCGAGUGAAUCCAAGAGAAACCAGGAAAUGUACCCAUGAUAGAAGCGAAGGUCAACAGUUUGUCUGUAGCAGGAAGGAAGUUUUUGAGGGCCCAACUCAGAACUUUUGGAUUUUGGCUGGAAUUGUCACGGGAAAUUGUUCCAGACCUUCAAUUCUCUGCAACAGAGAUAAAUUUUCAUCUCUCUUGUUUAUUGUUUCAGUGCAUUCUGCUCUUCAUGAGAUCGCCAUGUCCAAAAGCUGCAUGCUUACUGCUUCUUCUUCUUCUCCCACUCAAUGCCCACCAUCUGUUUGUGAAAAUGAGCGACUGGACCUGAACUCCAUUAGGGGUCUUGUUGUUUCUAUCAACCAGUAUAUUCAGGAAUUCUUGAGCAAUGCCGAGGUUAGAACUGCUGUUAAAUUGAGAUGCACCUCCAAACUCAGAAACCAGAGACAUGGGUUUUUGGAAUUCUUGGAACAAUCUAUCAUCUCAAAUCUUUACGGGGGUAUUGAGUACAUUGAAGAUGCAGUUCAAACAAGCACCUCCGAAGCGAGGGCCACUAGGCUUCAGACUGCUGAACAAAUGCUUCAGGUCCCAGCAUUGCUUGAUGAGGAUGGUGAGACCUCAGGAAUGGCAAAUCGUUAUUUAGUUUGCUGCUCUUACUUCUAUCUUUCUUUGGUCAAGAAGCUUCAAGGGGAUGAGUGGCAGGUUGCUCUGCACUUCCUUCAAUCUCUGCUGGUUUCUCCAAGAUUGGUUCUCACAGAGUUUGCUCAAGGAUUUUGCUACAAUCUUCUUCUUUCUUUUUCUACAUGUUCGAGGCAAGAAAAUUGUAAAAGUAUGGGGUCCAAUUCUUUUGUAGAAUUUGGCGAGGGUGAUUAUGGUGAAUCAACUAUAAGGCAGGUAGCUCGAAAAUACAAGGACUGGCUCAUGUAUUAUCAGGUUAUGUCGUACGGAGAGACUCAUCAGUGGCAGCAACAAGGAAGCAGGAGUAUGUUAUCUUCUGAAGAUGGAUCACAUUCCUUGCAUGGCACGUUUUCAAGGAUUGAAGCUUCAGAGGCGACUGAUUGUGGGUUCCCGCGGCCAACUCUUUCCCAUUAUGACAUUCUACCACCACUUGAUUAUAUUGAUGUAUUUCAAGAUAAAAGAAAGGCAUCACAGGAUUUUCUACAAUGUGAAGAUACAGCGAAUUCCCCAAAAAAAUUGGGUUUUAUCCCAGAACGUCAAUUUAGUGAAAGGGGAUUCUGGAGAGAUUCUAGUACCAAAUGCAUCGGAGACCUGUUGAAGGAUUCCCAGCCCGGUUCACCAACUUCAUUAUUCUCAUCAAUGAACAAUUCUGAAAGUGACAGUGAUCUUGAGGCAGGCAUGAACGACACUAAUCACUCUAAGAGAACAGCCCGAGCAGACAUGCCAGAAAACUUUUAUCAGAAGCUGCAGUAUGCUUGCUCCAAUACUGACGGAGAGCAGAGUUUGAUAUCUUUGUCCAGUGCUUCUCUAAGUAGGGUUAAGGAACAAUACAAUAAAUCAAACAUGAUGAAAUCCAUUUCAAACAAAUUCAAUGGUUACAAGUCACGUAGCCUAAAACAAAAAAACUUAGAACCUCAAGUCUUCCAAAAUUGUCUCGAAGAAAGUGAACCAAAAGAAUUGUCUGUAGACCCAUGCAAAUUACAGAGUUUUGAUAGUGCUUUACCUUUAUCUCUCGGUCAAGGUUCAGCCUGUCAGAUUAGUAAGCAGAUUAGUGUUAAAGGGCAAUUAUAUCAUGCAAAUAGCAGAAGAGAUUCAAAGAGUGAAAUAUUGGGACUUGUUGAGAAAGCGAUCUCAAGAUUAUGUUUCUCAGAAGGAUUGGGAGACUACAAUGACGAGUGUGCUGUGGAAGUUUCAACGGUUUACAAAAUGUUGAAUAACAAAACGGGAGUACAAUACACCAUGUUAAAGGAUUUAAUAAUGGAUCAAUUGGUGACAGGCAUUUCAACUUCUAAAGAAGAAAAGGUCAUAAGGGCAUCAGUUUCUCUGCUCACAACUAUAAUUUCUGAAAACAAUUCAGUUAUAGAAGAUAUCAAGAAGAAGGGCUUACAGUUGUGUGAUUUAGCAACUGCUCUAAAACAUAAUGUUCAUGAGGCUGCGAUUCUUAUCUACCUCAUUAGUCCAUCCCCAAGGGAAAUCAAGUCCUUAGAGCUUCUACCUGUAUUGGUGGAGAUUAUAUGCACCUCAAAAUGUUAUAAUGCUUGGUCACCAUCACUUGUGCUGACUCCUCCUGCAGCAUCAAUGAUGAUCAUUGAAGUAAUGGUAACAGCAUUUGACGAGGACACGAAUAAGAUGCAUUUGGUAGAAAUCAGCUCACCAAGUGUACUUUGUGGGCUUCUUGAAGUUGCAAGAACCAACAAUGUGGAAGGAUUAGCGUCUCUAGGCAGUAUUCUUGUAAAAUGCAUGCAACUCGAUGGAGAGUGCAGAGGCUAUAUAUCAAAAUUCAUCUCAGUGGCUCCGUUUCUCUGUCUCUUACAAAGUGAUAAGAAGGAAGCAGUACAUAUCGCACUUCAAGUAUUCAAUGAAAUCCUUCGUGUUCCUAGGUCUUCUGCCAUUAGCUUGUUGCAACGGAUUAAGAAUGAAGGGAAAAAUGACAUUAUUCACAUACUAAUGCUCUGUGUCAAUCACUUGGAAACUGAAUAUCAACUUUGGGCAGCAAAUUUAUUGAUUCAAUUACUUGUACUGGACAAUUGCUCCACAACAAGCUUAUUAAAAGAAGAGGCUGUACAGGUCCUUCUCAGGUCAGUGGCAUGCGAAGAAACCUCUGCAAUGCAGCUGUUAUCUGCAUCUAUAUUGUCAACUAUUGGUGGAACGUUUUCUUGGACAGGAGAGCCAUACACAGUUGCAUGGUUGCUUAAAAAAGUUGGUUUGAGUUCUGAUCAUCAGAACAUGAUCAAAUCGUUCAAUUGGUUAGACCAAAGCUUGCAGGAUGCUGGCAUGGACUCAUGGUGCAGUCUGAUGGCCAGAAACAUCAUCUAUAUUGGGGAGUCUGUCUUUCAUGCUUUAGAAAAGGGGUUGAAGAGCAAUAUAAAGAAGGUUUCUAGGGACUGUUUGACGGCAAUUGCAUGGCUUGGAUGUGAGAUUGCAAAGAGUCCAAGUAGCAUUAGAUGUUCUGCUUGUGAGAUUUUACUCAGUGGGAUUGAGCUGUUCUUGCAUCCAGGAGUAGAACUUGAAGAAAGACUUCUGGCAUGUCUCUGCAUCUUUAACUAUACCUCUGGAAAAGGGAUGCAAAAGCUUACUCGUUUCUCUGAAGGAGUUCGUGAGUCACUAAGACGUCUUUCGCAUAUAACUUGGAUGGCAGAAGAGUUGCAUCAAGUAGCAGAUUAUCUUAUGCCCAAUAAUUCAAGAAUUUCAUGCGUGCACACACAAGUUUUAGAGCUGGGUUUCAACAGCAGUGGAGCUGUAUGUGCCCUCAUCUUCUACAAAGGACUUCUUUUCGGUGGAUACUCUGAUGGUUCGAUAAAGGUGUGGAACAUCAAGGGACAAUCGGCAUCACUUCUAUGGGACAUAAAGAAACACAGAAAAGCAGUGACAUGUUUUUCACAUUUUGAAUCUGGGGAGAGUCUUCUAAGCGGAUCUUCCGAUAAAACUAUUCGAGUUUGGAAAAUGAUCCAGGGAAGAUUGGAGUGCAUUGAAGUGAUAGAGUCCAAGGAACAAAUCCAACAUUUAGGGGCAUAUGGACAGAUGAUCUUUGCAAUUACACAUGGCCAUGGGUUGAAGGUGAUCGAUGCAUCAAGAACAACAAAAGUUCUUUUCAAGAGUAAGAAUUUGAAGUGCAUUAAGGUGGUUCAAGCAAGGGUUUAUGCAGGCUGCACCGAUUCCAGCAUACAAGAGUUUUCUGUGACAAACAAAUGGGAACAAGAGAUCAAGCCACCUUCUAAAAGUUGGAUGCUGAUGCACCAGAAGGCUAUCAACUCACUUGCCGUGUAUAAGGACUGGCUUUUUAGUGCUAGCUCAAUGGUUCAAGGCUCAUUAUUUCAGAACUGGAGAAGACACGAAAAGCCCGAAAUUAAUAUUAUAACUGGUAAAGGAGACAUUGUGCAAGCAAUGAGUGUCGUUGAAGAUUUCGUGUACAUAAUCUGUAAAUCUUCAGUGAACAGCAUUCAGUUCCUUCUUGAAAAAGUAGAUAUGGUUGAGAAAGGCACAACACAAAGUGGGGAGAGUUACAGCUGGUAGUAAGAUAACAUGUUUGCUUACAGCCAAUGACAUGGUUCUCUGUGGCACAGAGACGGGCAAAAUUAAGGGCUGGAUCCCCCUCUAGCAAGAAGAUGCAAGUAAUUUUGUGGACUUCCCUUCUGUAGCAGUAUGAUAUAUUUUGUUUGAUUGAUAUAAAAACAGCAUCAAAAGGUGGAGUAUUACAUGUUUAAAGAAGGAACUCUGAGAAUCUUGUUUGCAGCAGCUAGCAGGAACCUUCAGCUUAAGUUCAAACCAUGCAAACACAAGUUCAAUUCAAUCUUCAUCAUCCAUCCAGUUUGUAAAUUGGACUAAAUGUUUGUAUUGAAAUUUUUUUAUUAGUUUGAAUGCCUAUUAUAUGAAAAUGAAAUUGUAUAUGAAGUCAAUUAAAGAAAAUAAGUUAGUUUUGGAAUGGAGAACCUGAUAUGGUUCGUCCUAUUUUACAUGAUCCGAUGAAGUGAAGUUGAAACUUUUGUUCUAAUUUGUAAAUUACUUCUUAAUUACAUACCACGUGCAAUCCACGUUUGUACUA
This is an RNA transcript of Benincasa hispida (wax gourd), 5128 nucleotides long. It is a transcript of the gene named Transducin/WD40 repeat-like superfamily protein, with no coding region annotated. NCBI's taxonomy places the organism in Eukaryota, Viridiplantae, Streptophyta, Magnoliopsida, Cucurbitales, Cucurbitaceae. The record is from RefSeq and is a predicted model, not a curated record.